CUCAGGAUGAACGCUAGCGACAGGCUUAACACAUGCAAGUCGAGGGGCAGCACAGGUAGCAAUACCGGGUGGCGACCGGCGCACGGGUGAGUAACGCGUAUGCAACUUGCCUAUCAGAGGGGGAUAACCCGGCGAAAGUCGGACUAAUACCGCAUGAAGCAGGGGCCCCGCAUGGGGAUAUUUGCUAAAGAUUCAUCGCUGAUAGAUAGGCAUGCGUUCCAUUAGGCAGUUGGCGGGGUAACGGCCCACCAAACCGACGAUGGAUAGGGGUUCUGAGAGGAAGGUCCCCCACAUUGGUACUGAGACACGGACCAAACUCCUACGGGAGGCAGCAGUGAGGAAUAUUGGUCAAUGGGCGUAAGCCUGAACCAGCCAAGUCGCGUGAGGGAUGAAGGUUCUAUGGAUCGUAAACCUCUUUUAUAAGGGAAUAAAGUGCGGGACGUGUCCCGUUUUGUAUGUACCUUAUGAAUAAGGAUCGGCUAACUCCGUGCCAGCAGCCGCGGUAAUACGGAGGAUCCGAGCGUUAUCCGGAUUUAUUGGGUUUAAAGGGUGCGUAGGCGGCCUUUUAAGUCAGCGGUGAAAGUCUGUGGCUCAACCAUAGAAUUGCCGUUGAAACUGGGGGGCUUGAGUAUGUUUGAGGCAGGCGGAAUGCGUGGUGUAGCGGUGAAAUGCAUAGAUAUCACGCAGAACCCCGAUUGCGAAGGCAGCCUGCCAAGCCAUUACUGACGCUGAUGCACGAAAGCGUGGGGAUCAAACAGGAUUAGAUACCCUGGUAGUCCACGCAGUAAACGAUGAUCACUAGCUGUUUGCGAUACACUGUAAGCGGCACAGCGAAAGCGUUAAGUGAUCCACCUGGGGAGUACGCCGGCAACGGUGAAACUCAAAGGAAUUGACGGGGGCCCGCACAAGCGGAGGAACAUGUGGUUUAAUUCGAUGAUACGCGGGGAACCUUACCCGGGUUUGAACGCAUUCGGACCGAGGUGGAAACACCUUUUCUAGCAAUAGCCGUUUGCGAGGUGCUGCAUGGUUGUCGUCAGCUCGUGCCGUGAGGUGUCGGCUUAAGUGCCAUAACGAGCGCAACCCUUGCCACUAGUUACUAACAGGUAAAGCUGAGGACUCUGGUGGGACUGCCAGCGUAAGCUGCGAGGAAGGCGGGGAUGACGUCAAAUCAGCACGGCCCUUACAUCCGGGGUGACACACGUGUUACAAUGGCGUGGACAAAGGGAAGCCACCUGGCGACAGGGAGCGAAUCCCCAAACCACGUCUCAGUUCGGAUCGGAGUCUGCAACCCGACUCCGUGAAGCUGGAUUCGCUAGUAAUCGCGCAUCAGCCAUGGCGCGGUGAAUACGUUCCCGGGCCUUGUACACACCGCCCGUCAAGCCAUGGGAGCCGGGGGUACCUGAAGUCCGUAACCGCGAGGAUCGGCCUAGGGUAAAACUGGUGACU
Molecule: ribosomal RNA, 1446 nt
Filed under: uncultured organism
Description: SSU rRNA
Rfam family: Bacterial small subunit ribosomal RNA
Source: RNAcentral